UCCAGGGUAGCCUAAGGUAGCCAUCUGCCCUGUAAGCGGAACACUGUGGGUUCGAUUCCCAUCCCUGGAC
RNAcentral lists this transfer RNA (70 nucleotides) under Cordylochernes scorpioides. RNAcentral's name for it is "tRNA-Thr". It matches the Rfam family "tRNA". Rfam says of the family: Transfer RNA (tRNA) molecules are approximately 80 nucleotides in length. Lineage: Eukaryota; Metazoa; Arthropoda; Arachnida; Pseudoscorpiones; Chernetidae. The record is from RNAcentral.